GAAAGCCCCGCAAGGGGUUCAGUAGAGUUGUGCAAACGGGUGAGUAACACGUGGGUGACCUGCCUUCGAGUGGGGGAUAACGUCCCGAAAGGGACGCUAAUACCGCAUGACAUCCUGCUUUUGGAAAAGCGGAGAUCAAAGCUGGGGAUCGCAAGACCUGGCGCUUGAAGAGGGGCCCGCGCCUGAUUAGCUAGUUGGUGAGGUAACGGGUCACCAAGGCAACGAUCAGUAUCCGGCCUGAGAGGGCGGACGGACACACUGGGACUGAGACACGGCCCAGACUCCUACGGGAGGCAGCAGUGGGGAAUUGUUCGCAAUGGGCUGCAAGCCUGACGACGCAACGCCGCGUGGAGGAUGAAGACCUUCGGGUCGUAAACUCCUUUCGAUCGAGACGAACGGCCUUGGAGUUAACAGCUUCGAGGAGUGACGGUACCGAGAGAAGAAGCCCCGGCUAACUCCGUGCCAGCAGCCGCGGUAAUACGGGGGGGGCAAGCGUUGUUCGGAAUUACUGGGCGUAAAGGGCUCGUAGGUGGCCAACUAAGUCAGACGUGAAAUCCCUCGGCUUAACCGGGGAACUGCGUCUGAUACUGGAUGGCUUGAGUUUGGGAAGAGGGAUGCGGGA
Molecule: ribosomal RNA, 622 nt
Filed under: uncultured bacterium
Lineage: Bacteria
Description: bacterial SSU rRNA
Rfam family: Bacterial small subunit ribosomal RNA
Source: RNAcentral